AUUGAACGCUGGCGGCAUGCCUUACACAUGCAAGUCGAACGGUAACGCGGGGCAACCUGGCGACGAGUGGCGAACGGGUGAGUAAAGCAUCGGAACGUGCCCAGUAGUGGGGGAUAGCCCGGCGAAAGCCGGAUUAAUACCGCAUACGACCUAUGGGUGAAAGGGGGGGAUCGCAAGACCUCUCGCUAUUGGAGCGGCCGAUGUCAGAUUAGGUAGGUGGUGGGGUAAAGGCCUACCAAGCCGACGAGCUGUAGCUGGUCUGAGAGGACGACCAGCCACACUGGGACUGAGGCACGGCCCAGACUCCUCCGGGAGGCAGCAGUGGGGAAUUUUGGACAGUGGGCGCAAGCCUGAUCCAGCCAUGCCGCGUGCGGGAAGAAGGCCUUCGGGUUGUAAACCGCUUUUGUCAGGGAAGAAAUCCUUUGGGUUAAUACCUCGGGGGGAUGACGGUACCUGAAGAAUAAGCACCGGCUAACUACGUGCCAGCCGCCGCCGUAA
RNAcentral lists this ribosomal RNA (498 nucleotides) under uncultured bacterium. Its description in RNAcentral is "partial 16S ribosomal RNA". It matches the Rfam family "Bacterial small subunit ribosomal RNA", at positions 29 to 523 of the family's 1533-position model. The record is from RNAcentral.